RNAcentral lists this ribosomal RNA (811 nucleotides) under uncultured bacterium. RNAcentral's name for it is "bacterial SSU rRNA". It matches the Rfam family "Bacterial small subunit ribosomal RNA", at positions 8 to 809 of the family's 1533-position model. The record is from RNAcentral.
AGAGUUUGAUCCUGGCUCAGGAUGAACGCUAGCUACAGGCUUAACACAUGCAAGUCGAGGGGCAGCAUCAUCAAAGCUUGCUUUGAUGGAUGGCGACCGGCGCACGGGUGAGUAACACGUAUCCAACCUGCCGACAACACUGGGAUAGCCUUUCGAAAGAAAGAUUAAUACCGGAUGGCAUAGUUUUCCCGCAUGGGAUAAUUAUUAAAGAAUUUCGGUUGUCGAUGGGGAUGCGUUCCAUUAGGCAGUUGGCGGGGUAACGGCCCACCAAACCAACGAUGGAUAGGGGUUCUGAGAGGAAGGUCCCCCACAUUGGAACUGAGACACGGUCCAAACUCCUACGGGAGGCAGCAGUGAGGAAUAUUGGUCAAUGGACGAGAGUCUGAACCAGCCAAGUAGCGUGAAGGAUGACUGCCCUAUGGGUUGUAAACUUCUUUUAUACGGGAAUAAAGUUAGCCACGUGUGGCUUUUUGUAUGUACCGUAUGAAUAAGGAUCGGCUAACUCCGUGCCAGCAGCCGCGGUAAUACGGAGGAUCCGAGCGUUAUCCGGAUUUAUUGGGUUUAAAGGGAGCGUAGGCGGGUUGUUAAGUCAGUUGUGAAAGUUUGCGGCUCAACCGUAAAAUUGCAGUUGAUACUGGCGACCUUGAGUGCAACAGAGGUAGGCGGAAUUCGUGGUGUAGCGGUGAAAUGCUUAGAUAUCACGAAGAACUCCGAUUGCGAAGGCAGCUUACUGGAUUGUAACUGACGCUGAUGCUCGAAAGUGUGGGUAUCAAACAGGAUUAGAUACCCUGGUAGUCCACACAGUAAACGA